Molecule: non-coding RNA, 2693 nt
Organism: Phascolarctos cinereus (koala)
Lineage: Eukaryota; Metazoa; Chordata; Mammalia; Diprotodontia; Phascolarctidae
Source: RefSeq, a predicted model, not a curated record
UUCCUUUCUGUCCUUGCUGUAGGGGUGAGAAUGGUUAGAUACAGGUCUGUAGUUUGGGGUUACAAUGUGGUUUUAAUUUUCCUUGUAUUUUCUUAUAAAAUAUCAGCACUCCAUUUGCAGAUGUUUCUCAUUUGAUUUCACGGUACUAUUUUCUCAAGGCUUUAUUUCUCCUUUCAAAAUGUGUUACAAGGAUGAUUUUUUAAAAAAGGCUGUGGCCAAUUUGAGGGUAGUUUAAAUUGAACAUUAAAUAAUUUUGUUUGGCAAGUGACUGACCGUCUCUUGAGAAGAGGAUGACUUUAUGGCUAGAUUCAGCAGCCUUCCCCUCCCUGUGAAUGUGAGUCUUUGGUAGCUCAGAGCUCUAAGGCUGGUCUUGACCUGCACACACAGGAGACAAAGGUAGGAACAUCGACAUGAGCUUUGGACAGAGGUUUGUACGUUUGUGAAAUAGACUUUUUUCCACACUUUCUGUGUAGCUUUUUACCUGUAACCUUGACUACGUUGUAAAUUAAAUGAGACUUUUUGCCAUUUGGGCUGGGUUAAUGUUUUAGUCCCCAUCACCUGCUCCCCUGUGGUUAGGAAGUGUUUCCCAUCUCAUGAUGUACUGAUCUGUUCCCAUUUUGGUGCUGCAAAUGAAGAUUCCUGAUGAAGGUGGAAAUUCAAAUUAGCUACGUACGUCCCCCAGCUAGAGCUGAAGGAUGUAAAAUAGGUUAACAUGUACUGACCUUCAUCAUGGAGAGAAAGCUGCUGCAGCCCUGCCCAUCAAGGGUGUAUGCUUGGUGUGAAAAUGUUUUGUACAAAGCUGCCUCCCUGCCCCUUGAGCAGCACCCCCACCUCCUGGGACCAGUUAGGCACGUUUUUGAGGUGGUGUGGUGGUGGAAACAAACUGAAGCCAAAGGUUAAGACAGUGGAGUUUUGCCAUUCAAUAAAAGUAAUAGGUUUUUAGUUAAGCUUGUAUCUCUUGGUAUUCUGGCAUCUAAUUUUAAUAUGGAAUAAAUUGGAUAGAAUAGAGAGAAAUGAACCAUUGAGGGGAGUGGGGAAAGUCUCAGCACUUGCCACCUUUAUAGUAAUUCAUCUAGAGGAUGGCCUUUUUUUCCCACCAAAGAGCCAUUGAUAAGAACCUCCUGGACCCUAGGGAGAAUACUCUUACACAGACCCCCCUUGGUCCAAGCAGCUGAACAGGCUAGAUUUACUGGACCCCAUUAUCAGUUUGCUGAUGGAAAAGUGCCUUCAACUCGGGUCAUUUGGGGUCAGGAGCAGACCCCGGCAUAAAUACUUUUUGAGUGCUGUGAUGCCUGUGACUUUGGGCUCCCAUAGUCAGCAGGGAUAACAUUCCCUUUUAAUUACAAGGGAUUCUGUUAACAGCAACCCAGAAUAUACUGCGCUCUACAUGUGGGGCAUCGACCACAGGAUUGGGAGGGCUGGUUUGGGUUUUUGUUUCCAUUUUUUGGUUUGGUUUUUCCAUUUCCAUUUUUUAACUCUAGAUACUGGACCAGGGGCCAGAGGCAUCUUGACUGCCCCUAGCAUUCCUUCUCCAGCUUCCUGAGUGCUUCUGUAAGAUGCCUCCAUCCUGAAAUGAAAAGCAGUUUCUAGUAGAUGAUCGAAGUUCUCUGAAGAUCUGAUUUCCUCCAAGCCUCCCAGCUCUCUCAUAGCCUCAGACUGUUUGCUUUUCCCUUGAAUUGAAGGAAAAGCACCUAGAAGAACCCAGAGUCCACCACUUAGGUGUCCGAAACAUUUUUCCCUCUAAAAAGUGCCUCUGAUUUGUUGAUACCAAGUCAGUUUCCCCAUUUCACAGUCACAGGACAAAUAACCCGAGGUCAGGAAAAUAUUUUGCGUGGGUGCAAGUGUGUGUUUGUGUGGCAUAUGCACAUGAUUGAUCUAUAGCAGUUUUUUAUAUCUGUAGGAUAUAUGUAUACAGAGCCUCAAAAAUGUGUUUGGGUGAUAAUAGAUUUUCUUGUCCAGGUAAUUAUUAAAAGAAUUUUGAGUUCUGGGCAAGUGGGUUUUUUUUUAAGUUGUGUUGUAUUAAAAGCAGAAUUUUGGGGCCUUUUGUAUUCUGUUCCUCUCUGAUGAGGUGGGCAUUGUCCAGCAAGCCUCCUGGCCUAUGCCUUGAUGGUAAUAAAACUGUUGUGAGAGAUGCACAUGUGGUGUUUCCUUCUGUAUGUGGGGCGAACCUAACGUUUUCCCUCUGCUUUCAUUCUGUCCAUUUCAGGAGCCCAGCUGAAGGAGGAGGUGCCUCAUUCUAUAUUACAGCACCCUGGGGCCAAUGAUGGCAUCUCUGCUGCUCAGCCCUCUCAGCACAGGCUGGGCAUGUUGCUGCGGGAUAAUGGAAUCGUGCCGUUAGCUGUUCAGAUUCAAACUACUUUGUGCAAAAUUCUCUUGUUCAGCAUGGAGCAGAGAGAGACAUGGUCACUCAUAGACCCACUGCCUUUUUAAAGAGAUGUGCUUAUGGAGGAGGUAGACGUGGCGCUCAAGAAGAUGAACAAAUUGGACAAAGCAUGUAUAGAAGAGGUCCGUGCUGGAAGUAACAUAAUUGGGAAGGCAUUGAAGGACCAAUACCCAAAAUAUCUGAAGAAAGGGAAGAUAACAAAGGCAUGGAAAAAAUCUUGGACCUCAUUAAUAGUGAAAAAAGAAAUCCCCUCCAUGGCAUCUCUGACAAGAUUGUUAAGGAAGGUGAAGGCAGUGAGACCCAAGGCACC